GCAACAUGUAAUUCAACUUUUAACUUUUCAGUGCAUAAAAAGGAAAAAUGGGAAUUAAAGAAAACACUUACUGGAAAGAUCACGUGAGACAAAGAAGGAAGAAACUGACAGAGGCAACAGUUACCACAGAAUUUGAAGUCAAUAAGUGCUGAAGUUGAAGAGAUGACUAGCAAGGCAAUAAUCGUUUCAAGUGAUAUCUUCACUUACCAACCCAAGAGUAAGGAACAGCUGAAUUGAGUCUGUGUGAAUCAGUGGUUUAAAUUCACAGGGAAUUUGAC
Molecule: non-coding RNA, 278 nt
Organism: Pelodiscus sinensis (Chinese soft-shelled turtle)
Lineage: Eukaryota; Metazoa; Chordata; Testudines; Trionychidae
Source: RefSeq, a predicted model, not a curated record